This is a long non-coding RNA of Patella vulgata (common limpet), 1231 nucleotides long. RefSeq lists it as uncharacterized. NCBI's taxonomy places the organism in Eukaryota, Metazoa, Mollusca, Gastropoda, Patellidae. The transcript has 5 exons. The record is from RefSeq and is a predicted model, not a curated record.
AGCGAGGGCGAAGUAUGUAUUCCGGAACAAUUAAAAUAUGAUGCUAAACCGGAUAAGAUCGGACAACCGACUUUAGAAACUUAUAGUUACGAUAGUAAAUUAGUGUGCGCCCUAGAAUGUUCAGAAGAACCAUUUUGUACCGCGUUUUCCUUCAAUGAACAAAGCAGUGUGUGCAAGACAUAUAAUAUAGACGUUGAAGAUUCGGAUUCCCAAACAUAUGAAAUUGGCACAGACCUAUAUCUGUACAACCAAAGAUGUGGUCACCUACCAAAUGUACCCAAUGCUUCUCCACCAACGGUCGAAAGUUCCAAUAGUUACCCCGCCGGUAAACGAGUCUUCUAUUCGUGUAUAGAAGGAGCCUACAUGAUUGGUAAUGGUGAAUCCAUGUGUUUAUCAAAUGGCACAUGGUUUAUGUCAAACGUCAGAUGUGUAUUUGUAAAAACCUGCUAUGAAGCCGAUGAGUUAGCAAUAAACAUAUCACCUCCUAUUGCAAUCAGGCCAAUUGAGAAUGGAGCCGUGGUCUAUGUGACUUGUGAGCGAAGAGAGAAUGAUGUUUAUACCGUGAUAGGUCAUAACCUUGCUAACAGAACGUAUAUCAAUGGUCCGGAGGAUUCUUUCAGUGGUGUUUUACCUAUCGAAUAUACAAUACCACUAGAUCUAGCCAUUGGUGUAGUCGACGUCUCCGCAGAAUGUGAGCAGUUUAUCAAAUUCGAAUGUCUCGGAGCUGGCGCCCAUUAUAACGCCUUUAGGACCCGUACAGGAGAACAGGCAGACUAUUUUGCUGGUGGAGUAAAGGGGCGAGGCGAUAACAACUGUGCCUGUCACAUCAGCGAUGCAUGUACAUCGCAAGGAAUAUGUAAUUGCAACGCCGAUACAGGUGAAUGGCAAGACGACACCGGAUAUAACCGAUAUAAAGAAGAUCUACCAAUUACAGCGUUCUUAGGUGGCGACACCGGUAGUACUGACGAAGAAGCCUAUAUAACUAUUGGGAGUUUAAAAUGUAAAGGAUAAUCGAUCUUUAGGUGACAACAACCACACGUAUACUGUUGUAUACUUAGAGAUAUGUCUUUGUAUUUAUGCAUACUCUUUGUUCAUGAGAUGAAGAAGACAAGAAUUAGAACUAACUGCCCUUGCUAACUAAAUAAUCGUGUGGACCCUCUAGAGGUUAAAGUUAUUUCUAGAUUGAUUUGAAAUUAAAACAGUGACUGUGUGAAGAAUGCCAUUAUUAUAA